UACCAGCUCUCCGAGUGGUAGGGAUGAUUAUUGGGCUUAAAGCGUCCGUAGCCGGCUUAGCAAGUUUCCUGUUAAAUUCAGCGACCUAAUCGUUGAGCCGCGGGAAAUACUACUAGGCUAGGAGGCGGGAGAGGUCGACGGUACCUCUGGGGUAGGGGUGAAAUCCUAUAGUCCCGGGAGGACCACCAGUGGCGGAGGCUGUCGACUAGAACGCGCUCGACGGUGAGGGACGAAAGCUGGGGGAGCGAACCGGAUUAGAUACCCGGGUAGUCCCAGCUGUAAACGAUGCGGGCUAGGUGUUGGGGUGGCUACGUGCCACUUCAGUGCCGCAGGGAAGCCAUUAAGCCCGCCGCCUGGGGAGUACGGCCGCAAGGCUGAAACUUAAAGGAAUUGGCGGGGGAGCACCACAAGGCGUGAAGCUUGCGGUUC
RNAcentral lists this ribosomal RNA (429 nucleotides) under uncultured archaeon. RNAcentral's name for it is "bacterial SSU rRNA". It matches the Rfam family "Archaeal small subunit ribosomal RNA", at positions 474 to 903 of the family's 1478-position model. The record is from RNAcentral.